GGUAGUUCAGUCGGUUAGAAUACCGGCCUGUCACGCCGGGGGUCGCGGGUUCGAGUCCCGUCCGCUCC
Molecule: transfer RNA, 68 nt
Filed under: Aeromonas rivipollensis
Lineage: Bacteria; Pseudomonadati; Pseudomonadota; Gammaproteobacteria; Aeromonadales; Aeromonadaceae
Rfam family: tRNA
About the family: Transfer RNA (tRNA) molecules are approximately 80 nucleotides in length. Their secondary structure includes four short double-helical elements and three loops (D, anti-codon, and T loops).
Source: RNAcentral